Molecule: ribosomal RNA, 253 nt
Filed under: uncultured bacterium
Lineage: Bacteria
Description: partial 16S ribosomal RNA
Rfam family: Bacterial small subunit ribosomal RNA
Source: RNAcentral
GACAGAGGGUGCAAACGUUGUUCGGAAUUACUGGGCGUAAAGCGCGUGUAGGCGGCCCUGCAAGUCGGAUGUGAAAUCCCACGGCUCAACCGUGGAAGUGCAUUCGAAACUGCAGGGCUAGAGUCCUGGAGAGGAACGUGGAAUGCUUGGUGUAGAGGUGAAAUUCGUAGAUAUCAAGCGGAACACCGGUGGCGAAGGCGGCGACCUGGGUAGAUACUGACGCUGAGGCGCGAAAGCGUGGGGAGCAAACAGG